UCCGUAGGUGAACCUGCGGAAGGAUCAUUAAUGAAUUCACUCUUGAAGCUGUUGCUGGUCUCUCGGGACAUGUGCACGCUUCAUAGGUACAUUCAACCACCUGUGCACUUUUGAUAGAUUCGCAGAGUCGCCUACCCCCCGUCAGGUCAGUCGAUUGACUUUGAUAGGUCCUGGCUUGACUUUGUGGGUCUAUUAUCUUACACACCCUGAUUGCAUGUCUAUGAAUGUUAUUAUUGGGCCGCGUGCCUAUAAAAUCUAAUACAACUUUCAACAACGGAUCUCUUGGCUCUCGCAUCGAUGAAGAACGCAGCGAAAUGCGAUAAGUAAUGUGAAUUGCAGAAUUCAGUGAAUCAUCGAAUCUUUGAACGCACCUUGCGCCCCUUGGUAUUCCGAGGGGCAUGCCUGUUUGAGUGUCAUUAAAUCCUCAAAUCUAUAUAGCUUUUAUUGUGAUAUAGAUUUGGAUUGUUGGGGGUUGCCGGCUUUAUCACUGAGUCAGCUCCUCUGAAAUGCAUUAGCGGGACUUUAUUGCCUCUGCGCACAGUGUGAUAAUUAUCUACGCUGACUGUCAUGCAAUGACCCUACAAGUCCAGCUCUCUAAUCGCCUUUCGAGACAAUGACUUGACAAUUUGGCCUCAAAUCAGGUAGGACUACCCGCUGAACUUAAGCAUAUCAAUAAGCGGAGGA
RNAcentral lists this ribosomal RNA (684 nucleotides) under Pleurotus smithii. Its description in RNAcentral is "eukaryotic LSU rRNA". The stretch from base 263 to 416 matches the Rfam family "5.8S ribosomal RNA". The record is from RNAcentral. Lineage: Eukaryota; Fungi; Basidiomycota; Agaricomycetes; Agaricales; Pleurotaceae.